This 440-nucleotide ribosomal RNA is filed under the name uncultured bacterium. RNAcentral describes it as "partial 16S ribosomal RNA". It matches the Rfam family "Bacterial small subunit ribosomal RNA", at positions 338 to 795 of the family's 1533-position model. The record is from RNAcentral.
CCUACGGGGUGCAGCAGUGGGGGAUAUUGCACAAUGGGGGAAACCCUGAUGCAGCGACGCCGCGUGUGGGAAGACGGUCUUCUGGAUUGUAAACCACUGUCCCCAGGGACGAAAAUGACGGUACCUGGGGAGGAAGCUCCGGCUAACUACGUGCCAGCAGCCGCGGUAAUACGUAGGGAGCAAGCGUUGUCCGGAAUUACUGGGUGUAAAGGGAGCGUAGGCGGGGAUGCAAGUUGGGUGUCAAAACUACCGGCUCAACCGAUAGUCGCACUCAAAACUGCAACUCUUGAGUGAAGUAGAGGCAGGCGGAAUUCCUAGUGUAGCGGUGAAAUGCGUAGAUAUUAGGAGGAACACCAGUGGCGAAAGCGGCCUGCUGGGCUUUUACUGACGCUGAGGCUCGAAAGUGUGGGGAGCAAACAGGAUUAGAUACCCUAGUAGUC